GACACAUCGAACAGGUUUGGUUCAUUUUUAAUAAUCUGAUUUACCAUUCUUAUUUUUUAGAAUUUUUCCUUCACAGCUAAAAGUUGAGCAGAUUUUCCUCUAAUUUCCCCAUUUGCGUUUUUGUGGGUCGAUUUUAUUUACUGUUGGAUUUCUGGAUUUUAAUUUUUUGCUUUCAAAAUUUUAAUGUUUCAUUUUUAAAGAAAUGUUUUAGUUGGUAAUACAAAAAACUGAAGUUGGAUGCGUGAUUCAAGAAGUUUCUUUUUUCUUCCCCUAAGUUUUUGCUGUUUAUGGCUUAAUUAUCUUGGUAUCAAUGGGUUAGGUGGCGGCGUCCACAAAUCAGG
This 341-nucleotide unclassified non-coding RNA is filed under the name Hevea brasiliensis (rubber tree). The record is from RNAcentral. Lineage: Eukaryota; Viridiplantae; Streptophyta; Magnoliopsida; Malpighiales; Euphorbiaceae.